UGCGUAGGCGGAAUAUUAAGUCAGUGGUGAAAUCCUGCGGCUCAACCGUAGAACUGCCAUUGAUACUGAUAUUCUUGAAUGUAGUUGAGGUAGGCGGAAUGUGUAAUGCAGCGGUGAAAUGCUUAGAUAUUACACAGAACACCGAUUGCGAAGGCAGCUUACUAAACUAUGAUUGACGCUGAGGCACGAAAGCGUGGGGAGCGAACAGGAUUAGAUACCCUGGUAGUCC
RNAcentral lists this ribosomal RNA (229 nucleotides) under uncultured bacterium. Its description in RNAcentral is "partial 16S ribosomal RNA". It matches the Rfam family "Bacterial small subunit ribosomal RNA", at positions 568 to 796 of the family's 1533-position model. The record is from RNAcentral.